This 231-nucleotide ribosomal RNA is filed under the name Triticum aestivum (bread wheat). RNAcentral describes it as "partial small subunit ribosomal RNA". Lineage: Eukaryota; Viridiplantae; Streptophyta; Magnoliopsida; Poales; Poaceae. The record is from RNAcentral.
AUGGCGUCUCGAGGUCCAGAAUUAUUAUUAUUUUGGCGUCUUGAUGUCCCUGUUGACGAGAGACAAGGUGAGAGGGAGAAGAAGGGAAGGAAGGGAGAAGAAGGGAAAGAAGGGAGAGAAGGGGACGAAGGAGAAGGCAGGCAGGGUAAGGUGGAGCUCCAGCGGCGGCGAGAGGUGGAGGCGCUCGGGGCCAGUGCUCCGGAGGUAGCGGCUGCGGGGUUGGGCAUCUAA